AAUCAACGCUGGCGGCGUGCCUAACACAUGCAAGUCGAACGCGGUUGGUCCGCAAGGAACAAUCGAGUGGCGAACGGGUGAGUAACACGUGGGUGACCUACCUUCGAGUGGGGGAUAACGUUCCGAAAGGAACGCUAAUACCGCAUAACAUCCUGCCUUUGAACAGGUGGAGAUCAAAGCCGGGGAUCGCAAGACCUGGCGCUGGAUGAGGGGCCCGCGUCCGAUUAGCUAGUUGGGAGGUAACGGCCCACCAAGGCGACGAUCGGUAACCGGCCUGAGAGGGCGGACGGUCACACUGGGACUGAGACACGGCCCAGACUCCUACGGGAGGCAGCAGUGGGGAAUUGUUCGCAAUGGGCGCAAGCCUGACGACGCAACGCCGCGUGGAGGAUGACGGUCUUCGGAUUGUAAACUCCUGUUGCGUCGGGACGAACGGCUCAGAUCGAAUACAUCUG
Molecule: ribosomal RNA, 455 nt
Filed under: uncultured bacterium
Lineage: Bacteria
Description: bacterial SSU rRNA
Rfam family: Bacterial small subunit ribosomal RNA
Source: RNAcentral